GCAAGAUUAUUUUUAUUAUAGAAUACAUGGUGUAUGCAUACCAUGCUCAUAAACAAAUGGCCAAGGCCAAACAACCCAAGUUAUUGAAUCUAAAAAAGAAAACACACGCCUAAUCGCAUCAAAAUCCAUAUGGGCUAAUAAUUCACGACCCUACAAUUCUUCCUUAUCUCCCCUUGCGACCCUGUAAGCACCUUAAUCGAACCCAUAUGCACCAUUGCUGAAGCAAACUUGGAAGCCCAUGCACUUGGAUGCUUGAUAUUGCUCCCCACCAUCUUCUUUGUCAAACUACUUUCCCACAACACUUGAUCUGAAAACAGCAGCCCUUUUUUACUCUUCAAGUUCUUGUAGUAGUUAUUGUCAAGCCUGGUUGGUGUUAGGGGAUCAAAAGGCACGAUUGGAUCAACCCCAGAGUUCGUUUUCACAGGCCUAGGGCAUUUGGCUCUCAAGUAACUGGCAUAGGUAGAAACCAUGGAAGGAUCUUGUGGGUACGUUGCAUUGAAGGAAUAUAAACGUUUAGAGAAUGAAGAACAAUGACAGUCACCGAUAGAGUGAACACCAGAGAGCGUCACCAAUUCCUCUAGUGACAAACCCUUCUUUGCAAAGUUUUCUUUCAACUGGGUGACAUUAAAGAAUGCAUCGGGGAGGUUUUUAGUGGCAUCACCGAUCAAAGAAAUGGUUCCGUCGCGGCGGCCUCCGAGAACAUCAUAGUAAAUGCCACCGGUAAGGUGAACACUAUCACGAGCUGCAAAGGCAAUAAUAUCUGCACAUGAAACUGUGUUGGGGCAGUAAGCCUCUAUCUUAGCCUUUGCUGCAUCUAUCACCUCAAAGCCUCCUAUUCCCUUAUUUCUCAUGCUUUCUUUCUCUGCUUUGUGCUUCGGAGUGGAAUCAAGAAGAAUGGAAGCAUCACAACCCCUCACAAAACAGUCAUGGAAAUGAAGCCUAGUGAGGGCAGCAGGAAUGCCAGUAUCAUUAGCCAUUGCAUUUGUUAUUGUGCUUCUCACUAUGGUCUCAGCCAAUGGGCAAGUUUUUUUAUAGAACUUUUUCUUCAAAGGAGCUGAGAGAGCUGGAGAGAUGAAGAAAAUGAGUAAAAAGAAUCCUACUAAAAAGGUGAAAAACCUUGCCAUGAGAACCAAGACUAAGACUUGUAGCCAAUAGAGAUUGAGA
Molecule: unclassified non-coding RNA, 1164 nt
Filed under: Hevea brasiliensis (rubber tree)
Lineage: Eukaryota; Viridiplantae; Streptophyta; Magnoliopsida; Malpighiales; Euphorbiaceae
Source: RNAcentral